GACGAACGCUGGCGGCGUGCUUAACACAUGCAAGUCGAACGGUAAGGCCCUUCGGGGUACACGAGUGGCGAACGGGUGAGUAACACGUGGGUGAUCUGCCCUGCACUUCGGGAUAAGCCUGGGAAACUGGGUCUAAUACCGGAUAGGACCACUGCCUGCAUGGGUGGUGGUGGAAAGCUUUUGCGGUGUGGGAUGGGCCCGCGGUCUAUCGGCUUGUUGGUGGGGUGAUGGGCUACCAAGGCGACGACGGGUAGCCGGCCUGGGAGGGUGACCGGCCACACUGGGACUGAGAUACGGCCCAGACUCCUACGGGAGGCAGCAGUGGGGAAUAUUGCACAAUGGGCGCAAGCCUGAUGCAGCGACGCCGCGUGGGGGAUGACGGCCUUCGGGUUGUAAACCUCUUUCAGCACCGACGAAGCGCAAGUGACGGUAGGUGCAGAAGAAGGACCGGCCAACUACGUGCCAGCAGCCGCAGUAA
Molecule: ribosomal RNA, 478 nt
Filed under: uncultured bacterium
Lineage: Bacteria
Description: partial 16S ribosomal RNA
Rfam family: Bacterial small subunit ribosomal RNA
Source: RNAcentral